This is a non-coding RNA of Pelobates cultripes (western spadefoot toad), 256 nucleotides long. NCBI's taxonomy places the organism in Eukaryota, Metazoa, Chordata, Amphibia, Anura, Pelobatidae. The record is from the annotation of a GenBank genome assembly.
AAAAACCUUGAGAUCUUUAAAAAUCCACAUAAAUGAGCAUAUCAGAAAUCUAAGAAAAGGUUUUCCAAACCACAGUGUCUCUAAACAUUUUUCAGAAGUGCACCAAUCUAACCCUAAAGAGUUAGAGUUCAUGGCUAUCCAAAAAGUUUCAAAUAACUGGAGAGGUGGGGAUAAUGCCCUUAAUCUUAGUAAAAAAGAAAGUGCUUGGAUUUUUGAUUUACAGACAUUGCACCCUAAGGGAUUAAAUUUAGAUUUU